Molecule: ribosomal RNA, 554 nt
Filed under: uncultured bacterium
Lineage: Bacteria
Description: partial 16S ribosomal RNA
Rfam family: Bacterial small subunit ribosomal RNA
Source: RNAcentral
AGGGAAUCUUCCACAAUGGACGCAAGUCUGAUGGAGCAACGCCGCGUGAGUGAAGAAGGUUUUCGGACCGUAAAGCUCUGUUGUUGGUGAAGAAGGAUAGAGGUAGUAACUGGCCCUUUAUUUGACGGUAAUCAACCAGAAAGUCACGGCUAACUACGUGCCAGCAGCCGCGGUAAUACGUAGGUGGCAAGCGUUGUCCGGAUUUAUUGGGCGUAAAGCGAGCGCAGGCGGAAGAAUAAGUCUGAUGUGAAAGCCCUCGGCUUAACCGAGGAAUUGCAUCGGAAACUGUUUUCUUGAGUGCAGAAGAGGAGAGUAGAACUCCAUGUGUAGCGGUGGAAUGCGUAGAUAUAUGGAAGAAUACCAGUGGCGAAGGCGGCUCUCUGGUCUGCAACUGACGCUGAGGCUCGAAAGCAUGGGUAGCGAACAGGAUUAGAUACCCUGGUAGUCCAUGCCGUAAACGAUGAGUGCUAAGUGUCGGGAGGCUUCCGCCUCUCAGUGCUGCAGCUAACGCAUUAAGCACUCCGCCUGGGGGAGUACGACCGCAAGGUUGAAAC